Molecule: ribosomal RNA, 440 nt
Filed under: uncultured bacterium
Lineage: Bacteria
Description: partial 16S ribosomal RNA
Rfam family: Bacterial small subunit ribosomal RNA
Source: RNAcentral
CCUACGGGAGGCAGCAGUGGGGAAUAUUGCACAAUGGGGGAAACUCUGAAGCAGCGACGCCGCGUGAGUGAAGAAGUAACUCGUUAUGUAAAGCUCUAUUAGCAGGGAAGAAAAUGACGGUACCUGAGUAAGAAGCUCCGGCUAACUACGUGCCAGCAGCCGCGGUAAUACGUAGGGGGCAAGCGUUAUCCGGAUUUACUGGGUGUAAAGGGGGCGUAGUCGGCUGUGCAAGUCUGGAGUGAAAGGCGGGGGCUCAACCCCCGAACUGUUGUGGAAACUGUACGGCUGGAGUGCAGUAGAGGUAAGUGGAAUUCGUGGUGUAGCGGUGAAAUGCGUAGAUAUUAGGAAGAACACCGGUGGCGAAGGUAGCUUACUGGACUGUAACUGACGUUGAGGCUCGAAAGCGUGGGGAGCAAACAGGAUUAGAUACCCUGGUAGUC